UGGUCCCGAAGAGGUCCUCAGAGAUACUCCACGAUUCCGCCCUAAACUCCCAAGAGAUUGUAUUUUCUGCUGAAUGGAAACCGACGCCUCCUAAGAUGACCUGCAGCCAUGAUGCUUCUUCCUAACGGCUCAGUAGGGCGUAGAGCGCGCGGCCAUCUUCUUACUAUUUUGCUCACUAAAGUUAGAAGUUUUUAUAGUUUUCCGAUAAUUCAUUUAGUUUGCGCAGUGACCGAGGUGCCCUGAAAUUAACAGCCCUUCCUUCCGGAUCCUCCGGUGGGAGUCUCCGAGAUGGGCGUGGCCAUCAUACGCCACAAUACGAGGCCGAGGGAGGAGCUUGGAUGUGUGGGAAUGUUUGGUUUCCCCGCCCGACGCCGACGGCCCUCAAAGGCCCUAGCGACGAAGUCGGAGAGAGAUGGAAGUCGUUCUGGGUUCAGGCUCUGCGUUUGGUCCCAGUGUUCGAUGGAGUCGGGAGAGACUCAAGAUCGGGGAAGAAGAGAACAAUACAUCUUUCCGUGAGCAUGGAAAAGAACUACUUCAUAAACAGCUUUGCACAGGCUGGCUCUACUGACCACACUAUUACCACGGUUUUAAAAAACUCCAAGUAGAUGUGCUCAUUGUCACUCGGACAAGAAUAAACCAUUAUGAGUUAAACAAAGAAAACAAAAGGUAAAAGCAGUCAGUGUAUAAACAAGGGAAACAAUCUGAGAAAUGCAUCAUUAGGCAAUUCUGUUGUUCAGCCAUCCCAGAGUGCACUUACUGAAACCUAGACGGUACAGCCUAUCCCAUGCCUAAGCUCUACAGGAUGGUCUAUUGCUCCCAGGCUGUCAACCUAUACAGCAUAUUGCAGUGCUGAAUGUUGCAGGGGAUUACAACACAACAGGUAAGUACUCAUGUAUCUAAACGUAUCUAAAUAUAUUAAUAGAACAGAUACAGCAAAAUAUGGUAUGAAAGAUAAAAAAUGGGGCUGGCCAUGGUGGCUCACACCUGUAAAUCGCAGCACUUUGAGAGGCUGAGGCAGGACUGCUUAAGCCCAGGAGUUUGAGGUUACAAUAAGCUGAACAGCCCCACUGCAGUCCAGCCUGGGCAAUAGAGUGAGGCCCUGUCUCUAAAAAUAAAGAUAAAACACGGUACAUCUGUACAGGGCAUCUAGCAGAAAUGCAGCUUGCAGGCCUGGAAGUUGCUCUGGGUACACUGGUACGUGAAUCUGAAGGCCUUGGAUGUAACUGUACACUACGGUGGACUUAAAAAAUGUGUGUAUACUAGCUGGGCGCGGUGGCUCACGCCUAUAAUCCCAGCACUUUGGGAGGCCGAGGCGGGUGGAUCACGAGGUCAAGAGAUCGAGACCAUCCCGGUCAACAAGGUGAAACCCCGUCUCUACUAAAAAUACAAAAAUUAGCUGGGCAUGGUGGUGUGCACCUGUAGUCCCAGCUACUUGGGAGGCUGAGGCAGGAGAAUUGCUUGAACCCAGGAAGCGCAGGUUGCGGUGAGCCGAGAUUGCGCCAUUGCACUCCAGCCUGGGUAACAACAGUGAAACUCCGUCUCGAAAAAACAACAACAACAACAACAAAAUGUGUGUACACUUAAGCUACAUUAAAUUUUUAAAAAAAUAAAUUGUGUGCUACAAUGUUCCCACUCACUUGGCAAUAUUUUCACCUCUUUUAUAAUCUGACGGGACCACUGUCCCAUAUGUAAUCCAUCAUUGACCAAAACAUGACUGUAUACAGAUGAUACGGUUUGGAUUUGUGUCCCUGCCCAAAUUUCAUGUCAUAUUGGAAGAGGGGCCUGGCGGGAGGUGAUGGAUCAUGAGGCAGAUUUCCCCCUUGCUGUUCUUGGGAUAGGGAACGAGUUCUCACAAGAUCUGAUGGUUGAAAAGUGUGUGGCACUUCUUUCACUCUUUCUCUCCUGCCUUAAUGUGAAAAAGGUCCUUGCUUCCCCUUCCCCUUUCUCCAUAUUUGUAGUUUCCUGAGGCCUCCCAGUCAUGCUUCCUCUUAAGCCUGUGGAACUGUGAGUCAAUCAAACCUCCUUCUAAGUGACACCUCUCGGGAACUGAUCUACUUUCUCCUGAGAGUCAGUACAUAUCCUGUGACCAACGACUCUCUGGAUGUGAUGACAGACACAUUAGACAGAAGGUGACAGCUACUAUAACCCACAGGAUGCUCCAGUCACACAUUAGGUUCCAGCACUAGUCAUUUUGUGUGAAUUCCAUUGUGCUGCUUUUACUCACACACUUCUGAUACCAAAUGUGUGGGCUUUUGCUCACAUCAAGCAAUUCUCCAAUUCUCUAACAUCAAGUAGGUGUCCAACAAUUAGAUUCAUUUCUGACACCAACCCCUGGAAGACCGCAUAGGUUAAGGUUUCAGUCCCACAAGACCAGCCCCACUUCAGACACCAGUCACAAGUGUGAGGUCUCCAGGUUACAAAGACUUCUUUCCCUUGGCUACUAAUGUGGGGAUUUCUGCAGCCCACCUUCAGGUUUAAUAAUCUACUAAGGAAAGCACUGCUUUAUUUACAAUUCAGGAACAGCCAAAUGGAAGAGCUGCCCAGGGCACAGUAUGCUGGAGUAUGGGGAUAAACUUCAUGCUCUCUCUGCAGGCACCAACCUCCCAGAAGCUCGAUGUGUUUACCAACCCCGCUCUCCAGACUCCUCUGUUUAGAGGUUUUAUGUUACACAGGCAUGGGUGAAUAAAUCAUUGGCCACUGGUGACUGAACUCCAUCUCCAACGUCUCUCUGCUCCCUGGAGAUUAGGGGUAGGACUGAAAGUUCCAAGCUUCUAAUCAAGGCUUGGUCUUUCUGGCAACCAGCCUCCACCCUGAAGCUACCUAGGACUCUACCAAGAGUAGUCUCACUAGAAAAACGAGGACAAGGCAUGAUGGCUCACAGCUGUAGACUUAGAACUUUGGGAGGCCAAUGUGGACGAAUUGCUUCAGCUGAGGAGUUUAAGACCAGCCUGUGGAACAUGGUGAAACCCCAUCUCUACAAAAAAAUUAGCUGGGCCCAGUGGCACACACCUGUAGUCCCAGCUAGUUGGGAGGCUGAAGGGAUGAUCGCUUGAGCCCAGGAGGCCAAGGCUGCAGUGAGCCGAGAUUGUACCACUGCACUCCAGCCUCGGUGUCAAAGUGAGACCCUGUCUCAAAAAAAAAGACGCUUAUAAUUCAGGAAAUUCCAAGAGUUUGAGGAGCUCUAUGCCAAGAACUGCAAAGACCAAAUAUCUUUCUAUGAUGCCACAUGUGAACAAUAUAGUCCUGAUCCUGCUUCGCCUAGAUGUUGAAAUCAGAAUCUAAAUUUACCAAUGCACAAAUUCCGGUUUACCAAUUUAUACUUCUUCACUUCAUUCAAUUGACUUUUAAAGUUGUCCAGAAAUCAUCUGAUGAAGAAAAGAAUAAAACAAACCAAAAGUCACCUGGGA
Long non-coding RNA from Callithrix jacchus (white-tufted-ear marmoset), 3407 nucleotides. RefSeq lists it as uncharacterized. The record is from RefSeq and is a predicted model, not a curated record. Lineage: Eukaryota; Metazoa; Chordata; Mammalia; Primates; Cebidae.